GCACUCUUGUUUCUCUUCAGAUCGUAUAAAUCUUUCGCCUUUUACUAAAGAUUUCCGUGGGGAGGAACAGCAAGAGUUUGAUUCAAUUUUUUGAUGCCCUGCAGUAGUAGGGCC
This 114-nucleotide small nuclear RNA is filed under the name Oryzias latipes (Japanese medaka). RNAcentral's name for it is "U5 spliceosomal RNA (ENSORLG00000028374.1)". It matches the Rfam family "U5 spliceosomal RNA". From Rfam's summary of the family: U5 RNA is a component of both types of known spliceosome. The precise function of this molecule is unknown, though it is known that the 5' loop is required for splice site selection and p220 binding, and that both the 3' stem-loop and the Sm site are important for Sm protein binding and cap methylation. The record is from Rfam by way of RNAcentral. Lineage: Eukaryota; Metazoa; Chordata; Actinopteri; Beloniformes; Adrianichthyidae.